Molecule: non-coding RNA, 178 nt
Filed under: Gammaproteobacteria bacterium
Lineage: Bacteria; Pseudomonadati; Pseudomonadota; Gammaproteobacteria
Description: 6S RNA
Rfam family: 6S / SsrS RNA
About the family: E. coli 6S RNA was the first non coding RNA to be sequenced, but its function was unknown until recently. It consists of 184 nucleotides that fold into an extended hairpin structure with a large single-stranded internal bulge.
Source: RNAcentral
CGUCUCCUGGGAUGUUAGCGAGUGGUCGCGUCCUUGAGCCGUUAUAAAAACGUCAGGAAACUUUUCGUUAGCUCUGUGUGCUUACCCAAUCUGAUGGGCCGCCUUCGAGUUGGCUGAGGUUUCCGCCUUGAAUCUAAACGGUUCAGGGCAAACCAACAGCGGCAUUGCCGGGAGACUC